AGUGAACGCUGGCGGUAGGCCUAACACAUGCAAGUCGAACGGCAGCACAGUAAGAGCUUGCUCUUACGGGUGGCGAGUGGCGGACGGGUGAGGAAUACAUCGGAAUCUACUUUUUCGUGGGGGACAACGUAGGGAAACUUACGCUAAUACCGCAUACGACCUACGGGUGAAAGCAGGGGAUCUUCGGACCUUGCGCGAUUGAAUGAGCCGAUGUCGGAUUAGCUAGUUGGCGGGGUAAAGGCCCAACAAGGCGACGAACCGUAGCUGGUCUGAGAGGAUGUUCAGCCACACUGGAACUGAGACACGGUCCAGACUCCUACGAGAGGCAGCAGUGGGGAAUAUUGGACAAUGGGCGCAAGCCUGUUCCAGCCAUACCGCGUGGGUGAAUAAGGCCUUCGGGUUGUAAAGCCCUUUUGUUGGGAAAGAAAAGCAGCAGGUUAAUACCCCGCUGUUCUGACGGUACCCAAAGAAUAAGCACCGGCUAACUUCGUG
Molecule: ribosomal RNA, 492 nt
Filed under: uncultured bacterium
Lineage: Bacteria
Description: partial 16S ribosomal RNA
Rfam family: Bacterial small subunit ribosomal RNA
Source: RNAcentral